GCCUGGCUGGCUCAGUGGGUAGAGCCUAUAACUCUUGAUCUUAGGGCCAUGAGUUCAAGACCCAUGUUGGGUG
This 73-nucleotide transfer RNA is filed under the name Mustela putorius furo (domestic ferret). It matches the Rfam family "tRNA". From Rfam's summary of the family: Transfer RNA (tRNA) molecules are approximately 80 nucleotides in length. Their secondary structure includes four short double-helical elements and three loops (D, anti-codon, and T loops). The record is from Rfam by way of RNAcentral. Lineage: Eukaryota; Metazoa; Chordata; Mammalia; Carnivora; Mustelidae.